Molecule: ribosomal RNA, 1213 nt
Filed under: Bacillus subtilis
Lineage: Bacteria; Bacillati; Bacillota; Bacilli; Caryophanales; Bacillaceae
Description: bacterial SSU rRNA
Rfam family: Bacterial small subunit ribosomal RNA
Source: RNAcentral
CUGCCUGUAAGACUGGGAUAACUCCGGGAAACCGGGGCUAAUACCGGAUGCUUGUUUGAACCGCAUGGUUCAAACAUAAAAGGUGGCUUCGGCUACCACUUACAGAUGGACCCGCGGCGCAUUAGCUAGUUGGUGAGGUAAUGGCUCACCAAGGCGACGAUGCGUAGCCGACCUGAGAGGGUGAUCGGCCACACUGGGACUGAGACACGGCCCAGACUCCUACGGGAGGCAGCAGUAGGGAAUCUUCCGCAAUGGACGAAAGUCUGACGGAGCAACGCCGCGUGAGUGAUGAAGGUUUUCGGAUCGUAAAGCUCUGUUGUUAGGGAAGAACAAGUACCGUUCGAAUAGGGCGGUACCUUGACGGUACCUAACCAGAAAGCCACGGCUAACUACGUGCCAGCAGCCGCGGUAAUACGUAGGUGGCAAGCGUUGUCCGGAAUUAUUGGGCGUAAAGGGCUCGCAGGCGGUUUCUUAAGUCUGAUGUGAAAGCCCCCGGCUCAACCGGGGAAGGGUCAUUGGAAACUGGGGAACUUGAGUGCAGAAGAGGAGAGUGGAAUUCCACGUGUAGCGGUGAAAUGCGUAGAGAUGUGGAGGAACACCAGUGGCGAAGGCGACUCUCUGGUCUGUAACUGACGCUGAGGAGCGAAAGCGUGGGGAGCGAACAGGAUUAGAUACCCUGGUAGUCCACGCCGUAAACGAUGAGUGCUAAGUGUUAGGGGGUUUCCGCCCCUUAGUGCUGCAGCUAACGCAUUAAGCACUCCGCCUGGGGAGUACGGUCGCAAGACUGAAACUCAAAGGAAUUGACGGGGGCCCGCACAAGCGGUGGAGCAUGUGGUUUAAUUCGAAGCAACGCGAAGAACCUUACCAGGUCUUGACAUCCUCUGACAAUCCUAGAGAUAGGACGUCCCCUUCGGGGGCAGAGUGACAGGUGGUGCAUGGUUGUCGUCAGCUCGUGUCGUGAGAUGUUGGGUUAAGUCCCGCAACGAGCGCAACCCUUGAUCUUAGUUGCCAGCAUUCAGUUGGGCACUCUAAGGUGACUGCCGGUGACAAACCGGAGGAAGGUGGGGAUGACGUCAAAUCAUCAUGCCCCUUAUGACCUGGGCUACACACGUGCUACAAUGGACAGAACAAAGGGCAGCGAAACCGCGAGGUUAAGCCAAUCCCACAAAUCUGUUCUCAGUUCGGAUCGCAGUCUGCAACUCGACUGCGUGAA